CCUACGGGUGGCUGCAGUGGGGAAUAUUGGACAAUGGGCGAAAGCCUGAUCCAGCCAUGCCGCGUGUGUGAAGAAGGCCUUCGGGUUGUAAAGCACUUUCAGUGGGGAAGAAAGCCUUGGGGCUAAUACCCUCGAGGAAGGACAUCACCCACAGAAGAAGCACCGGCUAACUCCGUGCCAGCAGCCGCGGUAAUACGGAGGGUGUGAGCGUUAAUCGGAAUUACUGGGCGUAAAGCGCGCGUAGGCGGUCUGAUAAGCCGGUUGUGAAAGCCCCGGGCUCAACCUGGGAACGGCAUCCGGAACUGUCAGGCUAGAGUGCAGGAGAGGAAGGUAGAAUUCCCGGUGUAGCGGUGAAAUGCGUAGAGAUCGGGAGGAAUACCAAUGGCGAAGGCGGCCUUCUGGACUGACACUGACGCUGAGGUGCGAAAGCGUGGGUAGCAAACAGGAUUAGAUACCCCUGUAGUC
Molecule: ribosomal RNA, 465 nt
Filed under: Vreelandella stevensii
Lineage: Bacteria; Pseudomonadati; Pseudomonadota; Gammaproteobacteria; Oceanospirillales; Halomonadaceae
Description: partial 16S ribosomal RNA
Rfam family: Bacterial small subunit ribosomal RNA
Source: RNAcentral